GAAAACGGGUGGUAAUGCCGGAUGUUCCAGUUGAUCGCAUGGUCUUCUGGGAAAGCUUUCGCGGUAUGGGAUGGGGUCGCGUCCUAUCAGCUUGACGGCGGGGUAACGGCCCACCGUGGCUUCGACGGGUAGCCGGCCUGAGAGGGCGACCGGCCACAUUGGGACUGAGAUACGGCCCAGACUCCUACGGGAGGCAGCAGUGGGGAAUAUUGCACAAUGGGCGCAAGCCUGAUGCAGCGACGCCGCGUGAGGGAUGGAGGCCUUCGGGUUGUAAACCUCUUUUAUCGGGGAGCAAGCGUGAGUGAGUUUACCCGUUGAAUAAGCACCGGCUAACUACGUGCCAGCAGCCGCGGUAAUACGUAGGGUGCAAGCGUUAUCCGGAAUUAUUGGGCGUAAAGGGCUCGUAGGCGGUUCGUCGCGUCCGGUGUGAAAGUCCAUCGCUUAACGGUGGAUCCGCGCCGGGUACGGGCGGGCUUGAGUGCGGUAGGGGAGACUGGAAUUCCCGGUGUAACGGUGGAAUGUGUAGAUAUCGGGAAGAACACCA
This 544-nucleotide ribosomal RNA is filed under the name Bifidobacterium longum subsp. infantis. RNAcentral's name for it is "bacterial SSU rRNA". It matches the Rfam family "Bacterial small subunit ribosomal RNA", at positions 152 to 711 of the family's 1533-position model. Lineage: Bacteria; Bacillati; Actinomycetota; Actinomycetes; Bifidobacteriales; Bifidobacteriaceae. The record is from RNAcentral.